AACGAACGCUGGCGGCAUGCCUAACACAUGCCAGUCGAACGAGACCUUCGGGUCUAGUGGCGCACGGGUGCGUAACGCGUGGGAACCUGCCCUUAGGUUCGGAAUAACUCCCCGAAAGGGGUGCUAAUACCGGAUAAUGUCUUCGGACCAAAGAUUUGUCGCCUUUGGAUGGGCCCGCGUUGGGUUAGCUAGUGGGUAGGGUAAAAGCCUACCAAGGCGACGAUCCAUAGCUGGUCUGAGAGGAUGAUCAGCCACACUGGGACUGAGACCCGGCCCAGACUCCUACGGGAGGCAGCAGAGAGGAAUAUAGGACAAUGGGCGAAAGCCUGAUCCAGCAAUGCCGCGUGAGUGAUGAAGGCCUUAGGGUUGGAAAGCUCUUUUACCCGGGAUGAUAAUGACAGUACCGGGAGAAUAAGCACCGGCUAACUCCGUG
RNAcentral lists this ribosomal RNA (433 nucleotides) under uncultured bacterium. RNAcentral describes it as "partial 16S ribosomal RNA". It matches the Rfam family "Bacterial small subunit ribosomal RNA", at positions 29 to 507 of the family's 1533-position model. The record is from RNAcentral.